UCUGCAGUCGUAGACUUCGGUCUGCUACCUCUUACCCAUGUCUUUUGAGUACCUUCGUUUCCUCGGCGGGUCCGCCCGCCGAUUGGACAACAUUCAAACCCUUUGCAGUUGCAAUCAGCGUCUGAAAAAACAUAAUAGUUACAACUUUCAACAACGGAUCUCUUGGUUCUGGCAUCGAUGAAGAACGCAGCGAAAUGCGAUAAGUAGUGUGAAUUGCAGAAUUCAGUGAAUCAUCGAAUCUUUGAACGCACAUUGCGCCCCUUGGUAUUCCAUGGGGCAUGCCUGUUCGAGCGUCAUUUGUACCUUCAAGCUCUGCUUGGUGUUGGGUGUUUUGUCUCGCCUCUGCGUGUAGACUCGCCUUAAAACAAUUGGCAGCCGGCGUAUUGAUUUCGGAGCGCAGUACAUCUCGCGCUUUGCACUCAUAACGGCGACGUCCAAAAGUACAUUUUUACACUCUUGACCUCGGAUCAGGUAGGGAUACCCGCUGAACUUAAGCAUAUCUAAAACGCGCGAGGAGGGAA
RNAcentral lists this ribosomal RNA (521 nucleotides) under Epicoccum nigrum. RNAcentral describes it as "eukaryotic LSU rRNA". The stretch from base 143 to 296 matches the Rfam family "5.8S ribosomal RNA". Lineage: Eukaryota; Fungi; Ascomycota; Dothideomycetes; Pleosporales; Didymellaceae. The record is from RNAcentral.